AUGCUGAAAAUUAAGAGGGGUGGUGCUGAUCUCACAAGAAGCUUGCAUGGGAACAGAAAAGCUAAGAGGGCGGCGAUUAUCUCAAAAGAAUCUCCCAUAGGAUUAGGAGACACAAUCCAGAUCUCAGGUGACUUGCAUAGGCACUCAAAUCAAGAUGUCUUGACUGAGCUCAGUGAUGAAGUUAAAUCAAAUAUGUUGAAAAGUGUUGCCUCACUUGCUGUGUGCAGUGGGGACACACUCUUAUUUGCAUGCUCAGGCAUAGCCAUAGAGCGUGAAUUAUAUGUUACAAAGUUUGUGACUUCACCAAAAUUGGCCCUAGUUUUCAACAGUGCUAGAAUGGAAAAGAAGCAUGACAACGUAAAGAUUGAGGUGCGCCAUGUAGGCAGUGAGGUUUACCAGGGUUUCUUAGACAGCGAUGAUGUAGAUGAACACUUUUCUGUUGUCAAGGUCAAGGCCUUCCUUGAUGUUAAUGUUGGACUUAUUGAGCAUGCUGAGGGGAUUCUGCCUUAUGGUAAGGUGGUAGUUCUAGGCCGUGGCACCUCGGGUGAAUUAAUGGCAAAAAGUGUGAUACUGGCUGGCGACGUAAGUUGUUCUAAAUAUAAUGAAGAUCCUGUGUUGUCUGUGGAAAAAAUAACGAAGGAUUGGGAAGGUGGGCCACUUUUUUCUUUGGAUGGGAACUUUAUCGGCAUGAACCUUUUUCUGGUUAUGGAAAGAGCUUUUUUUCUACCAUGGGGUGUAAUGGUCUAUCUGGUGUAUAACUUUAAGACUCCCCUAGAGAACAGGCAUGGAGAAGGACCCACACAUGAGAUGUUCAAUCGCUAUCAAGACGUUUAUAAAACUGGUAUCGAGCAUAGUCUGUUUGGGGAUGUUGACAAGAUGGGUUACCCCAAGCUACCAGUAACUAUGCUGGAUGAUGGCUUGGUUUUGGUUAAUACUUUUGAAGACACCUUUGGCGACGUAUGGGGUGAAGGUGUCUGGAGGGAACUUGGGAAAAAUGCUUCUGACAUAAGUCGCAUUGUUGUCGCACUUGCUUCCUUCAAUGGUGAAAAAAUGUUUUCUGCAUGCACGGGUUUUUUUAUUCGAUGGAAUGGCUCAACAACCAUUCUGACAUCUGCAAGCCUGGUUAGAGAUCAUUGUGAUGAAAGCAAGAUUGUUGAAAACUUGACGAUUAAAGUAUUGCUUCCAAACAAACUUGUCCGAAAAGGGAACAUAGAGCAUUACAGUCUACAUUACAAUGUCGCUCUAGUCAGUGUCGAGGAUUGCCGUGUUAUCCGACCAGCAAAGAUUCAGCUUGAUUGUAUUGGUAUUUCCCGUGUAGCAGCUGCAGGGCGUUGCUUCAGAUCAGGCACGAUAAUGGCCACAAGUGGGCGUCUGGUUUCCUGGUCAGGCAGGCUUGAUUGCAAGUUCAUUUUACGCUCCACAUGUAAAAUCAGUAAGGCCGGGAUUGGAGGACCCCUUUUUAAUAUGCGUGGAGAGGUUAUCGGCAUGAACUUCUAUUCAGAGAAAAUAGGCACCCCAUUCCUGCUAUGGAAUGAGAUUGGCAACAUCCUGGCGUAUUUUAAGGAAAAGAGUGAUGCUGGUGAGGUUGCUAAGGACAGUGGUUCCUCUUUCUGGAAAAUGGAUGGGGAUAGCACAGUCCGGUUAAACAGGUGGCCUGUGCCGAUGCCAUGUUGGCGUGAUCCUGACGAUCCAUCUUGGAGCUAUCCUGAUGAUUGGAUUACGGAUGCACCCAGGGAUGAGCCGAACAUUGAAAUCCCACCUGGCGAGGAGUUCAGAUACGGAUACAUAAGGGGAACGAGAUAUAGAAACCUUGUAAAGGAGUGCUGGGUUCCCUUGACCAAGAAGUGGUGA
This 1851-nucleotide ribosomal RNA is filed under the name Triticum aestivum (bread wheat). Its description in RNAcentral is "partial small subunit ribosomal RNA". The record is from RNAcentral. Lineage: Eukaryota; Viridiplantae; Streptophyta; Magnoliopsida; Poales; Poaceae.